GCUUAGAGAAAUGGCAAUUACAACCUAUUGCAAGGCACCAUGGAGAGAUAGUCUACCCCAUCAUUUUCUCUUCAAUUGGCAUUGAUGUCUUCAUUGAAAAGGAUGGCAUGAUGUUUCUUUUCUUGUUGCUAUGAUGAAAUACCUGCCACACAUGGAAACAACAAAACCAAACCAAACACUUAGGGAGAGAGGGUUGCCUUCCAUCAAGGCAGGGAGAGCAUGGCGGUAGAAUUUGCGGUGGCUGGACACACUUCAUCCACAGUCAGAGGUGGAGGGGGAAGAUACUGAUGCCUAGUUCCCUUCUGUUCUUGACUCUGCCCAGGACUGCAGCCCAUAGAAUGGUACCACCCACAUUUAUUGUGGGUCUUCUCACCCUGGUUAAGCUAAUCUAGAAAAUGCCUCACAGACACACCUAGAUAUUGGUUUCCAUGGUGAUUGUAAGUCCCAUUGGGUUGACAGUAAAGAUUAACCAGCACACAGCAAAGCUAACUUACUAAAGCCCUGAGGGUACAUAAUAGUGUCAUUUCACCAACGAAUUGUCUUAUCUGAGGAAUACUAACUGCUGUGCAGGGUCGAAUCUGUUCAUUUUUAUAUUGUAUUUAUUCCUGGCAUAUCACUUAUAGGUCCAAUUCCACUUAUUCUUUCCUUGUCUCCAUUGUAGGGCCUACUAUUAUGUAAUGUGGCAAUCACUUGUGUGUUAACUGUCCACGCACAAAGCCUUGUAUAUUGUGCCACCGUAUCUAUUUCUGCAGCAUCUCAGGAGUCACACAUUCCCCUUUAAAGGGAUGGUGUGCUGUUGAAAGGUUUCCUCCUGGGGAAUGGAGGAUUCAGGUUCAGGCAGAGCGGGUUGCUGUAACAGCCAGCUUUGCUUACUGAGGCUUUUUUUUUUUUUUUUUUUUUUUUUUUUUUUUUUUUUUUUUUAUGCUGUGGCUAUGGACAUGGUGAACUCACUUAUGGAUGUAAUAGUUCCUAGAGCCAUUUGUGCAGUGGUUCUUUUUUUUUUUUAAUUUUCCUCUCUCUCUUUUUUUUAAUGGAUAUUUUCUUUAUUUACAUUUCAAAUGUUUUCCCCUUUUCAGGUCUUUCCUUCAGAAGCCCCCUAUUCCAUCCCCCUCCUCCUGCCUGUAGGUAGGUACUCCCUCACCCACCCACUCAAUCCUGUUUUCCCGCUCUGGUAUUCCCUUACACGGGGCAUCAAACACCCUCAGGCCCAAGGGCUGCUCCUCCCACUGAUGCCCAACAAGGCCAUCCUCUGCCACAUAUGUGGCCAGAGCUAUGGGUACCUCCAUGUGUAUUCUUCGGUUGGUGGUUUAGUCCCUGGGAGCUUCAGGGGGUCUGACUGGUUGUGCAGAGGUUCUUAGUCCUUGGUUCAGAAUCCCCAUCAGGUUAAACAAUCCUUUCAUAGGAGUUACAUAAGACCAACAGAACACACUUUUUUAUUAGGAUUCAUAACAAUAGCAAAAGUACAGUUAUGUAGUAGAAAUAAAAAUAGUUUUGUGGUUGGAGGGGUCACCAGGGCAUGAGGAACUGAAUUAAAGGGUGGCAGCAUUAGGACAGUUGAGAGCCACUGCAUCUGUGAUAGGCCUUGAAAGGGAGAGGCUGGACCUUGAUGGCUCAUACUCACACCUUCAGUGCACUGUGACCGCCACUGCAUCUGCAAGCUUCAGUUCAUCACUUGAAAACCAGCUAGGAAACUUGGAAUUUUCGAACCUGUGAUGAGCACAUGUCCAAAUGUACACAUUUUGAUAACAGAAAUUAAGCGCAGAAGCGUGAGAAAGCUGUGCUAGUUUGUCUAGGAAGAGAGGCCAGGACAAAAGUUCAAGUCGGCCGAGGGUCCUGAAGCUGUAAACAUUUGUGAAAAUGCCUGGGCAGCACACCCAGCCCUUGCUUCAUAGCAAUUUGAAACAAUAUCAGCGGGGAAGGCUUCCAAAAUAUUCUGUUUAAGUAUAAUUUAUGGCAAUAAACCCAGUGGUUUAUUCUUCCCACAGGGAGCAAGAGGUAAGUAUGAGAGACUCUGACUAGAGAGGAAUUCACAUAGAAAGAACUUGAGUCUACCGAAUAAGAUGGACCAACAAUCCUUGGACAAGUGGUCCAUGGUAUACUGAUCAUUAUGGUAACCACUUAUUACCUCGAGGCCUUUACAUUUAACUUAUGAAGAUAAUAAAUAACUUAGAAGCGCUUCUGUGUGCCAGCCACAUAGGAAUUAACAGUGGCUACAUAUGCUGGGUACCAUGCAGAUGAAGAAAGAUGAAGAGUGCUUGUUAUUUCAGACUGUGCUCUGUGGUGGAUUUUUCUUGAGUUGCAUCAUUCAUCAGUAGAAAAUGAGCCAUUUCUUAUCGAUUAGCAAGUAAGGAGUCACCUAGGUCAUUGAUUAACUUCAACAAGUCAGUCAGUAGACUCUACAGAUAGCAACAACAAGACAACUACUACGGUUUGGACCCUAAAUGUCUCUUGACCCAUGCUCAGAUGCUAAAGAUUUGGUUGGUCACCAGGCUGUGUUGCUCCUGGGGCUGAGGAACCUCUAGGGGCAGAGGAGAAGAAAGCUAAGCCAUUGGGCCAUGUUCUUGAAAGAGAUGUUGGAACUUGAACCUCGUACUCCCUCUUUGCUUUCUGGUGUCCAUAAGACAGACACCUGCCUCUAACACAAACUUCUCCAUAAUGUGUGGCAUGGCCACAGGCCCAAAGUGACAAAGGCUCAAGUCCCUGAAACCAUCAGCUGAAUAAAGACUUUCCUCCUUUCUUGGAUAUGUUGUCCCCAUUACACAAGCUAACAUAACCUGGAUGAGUUCUGGGGAAUUAUUUCUUCUGGCAUGAUUGCUAGCCAUUUUGUAGGGCAUGACAAUGGCAUGGUUGGCCUGCUUGUCCUUUACCUUCAUAUGGGAUGCUCUCUUGACUCUUAUAUGAAGUUUAAAGAUUUGGUUUUCCCCUUUGUCUACUGUAGUUUGGUUUCAUAUGCUGCAACUUUCUUUAGAGAGUCCACACUGACUGUCAGGGUUGGUCUAGAGCUAUACAGACUUCACCGGCAACCCCAGAGGCACAUGCCUUAGACUCUCUUCCUGUAUAAAAGUGCCUGUGUAGAUUUCCUUGUCUGCCUCUAGCUAGGUCUCGCUUUCAGGAAGGAAUGUUCCCUGAGGACCUCUUACACUACAGAGAAGGAUGGCCAGCCAGAGUUGCCAUAAGGUGUGAAAUGGUUGCUAUAUAAAUAUAUAAAAGAGACUUAGAAGAGAUGGAAAGGGGCUGCCACAAGUGUACAUUUAAGUGCUCAUAUGAAAAGCAAAGCACGUGGGAUGGGCUUAAAUUAUAGAAAAGAAAGUGUGGGAUGGAUUUCUGGAAACAUUGAAUGGCUUUUAAUGUUUUUGCCUGGGGGAAGUUUUUAAAAAUUCUUUUUAAAGUUUCAUACAUAUGUAUAAUGCAUUGUGAUUAUAUCCAAACUCCUCCCCCUUUACCCUUCUCCUCUUUCUUAACAUCUUUUUCCUAUUUCAUGUCUUGUUCUCUCUCUCUGUCUCUGCCUCCUCCUCCUUCUCCUCUCUACACUGAGUUUAAUUACACUUCCUUUUGUAAUUGGGUAAGGAGUCUUGCAUAAGGAAUUACUCAAAAUAUUCAGGCAAGAACCACUGUUUAUACCUCUUAAGAAAAUGGCACCCCUUUCCUUGGCUACUCUUUCCCUGUCAAAAGCUCUUCCAUGAGGAGUAAUGCCUCAUCGGUGGCUUCCCAAACCAUGAUGGGGCAUGGCUGUUUUAGUCAGAGAAAUGGGAUGCUUGCUGAAACCUCUCAUCUAGCCAUUGGUGACCAUCCUUUCAUGUGGACUUGUGUUGAGCAUUGAGCCUGGCACAGACUUGGGGCCUGGAUUGCUGGCUUUUAGAAGUAUGAAAGGACAGAUUUCAGUUAUUUUUAACCAUUAAUUAUGUGAUAAUUUGCUAUACCAGCCACAGAAAACUAAUAUAGACUUCAUCUGGCAUAUUCUUCAAGCCGUUUUAAGAGUGAUCAAAUGAGGCAUUUAUGUAAAAUACAAAGUACAAGUGAUUUAAAAGAGCUUCCAUGGGCUUCUCGAAAGAAUUCUCUGGCCUCUGCCCCCCUUUCUCAUACGUGACCAUCUGGUAUAACUAAUACAUUUAUCAAGAUCAGAAUUCCUUACUUCCCCACAGACUACGUGUUCCGGCACACAGUUUCUUUGAAGUUGCAGCAACCACUGUCUGUCAAGUUCUUGGAGGCAGGGCCAUCACUGUAGCUUUUGAUGCCAUGUGAAGUUCUGCUUGGCCUUCCGUCCUCUAAGGACAGGUGAACUGAGGGUACCAUCUCACUCCCCUGCCCUCAUUUGCAUCUGAAACACAUACCCACUGCGACACUGUUUUCCCCCGUCCCCAUCCAUUCAACAAUUAAGCUACAAUAAAUUUAGGUUUUAGGAAAAAAAUAUGUUGAUAUGUUUCAAAAGUGCAAAUGAUACAAAAAGUUGCUUGUUGUGGUUUGAGUGUGGAAUAUUUCCUGUCCAGGUAAACCGUAUCUCCUCGAAAUAAAAGCCAGAUAAGCCUUCUCCCUCUCAGUGACUUCUUUUUUUUUUUAAAAAAGAUUUAUUUAUUUAUUUAUUUAUUUAUUUAUUUAUUAUAUGUAAGUACACUGUAGCUGUCUUCAGACGCACCAGAAGAGGGCAUCAGAUCUCAUUACGGGUGGUUGUGAGCCACCAUGUGGUUGCUGGGAUUUGAACUUCGGACCUUCGGAAGAGCAGUCGGGUGCUCUUACCCACUGAGCCAUCUCAUUCUUGUCAAGGACUCGGUGGCACACAACAGUGGCAGAAGCAGUACAAUAUUCAUGGAGAACCCUUGGUCCCAUUCCAAAUCCUUUCUUUGCAGUUAUCCAUUUAUAAAAUUCGAAAAAAUGGUUCCAUUGCUUCUUUCUGAAAAUAUACACAAUUUCUUACAGAAGACAGUGCAAGUAGAUAGUGUGUCUAUACCUACCUAUGUACCAUGAAUCACUUGAUUGCAGUCAUGAGCCAAGGACCCAGUUAAGCUAUGCUUACCCUCCUGACCAAUUGGAACUCAAAGCUAAUAGAUGCAUGCUUCAUAAGAAUAUUAAGCUCAUGAUAAUUAUUCAAGAAUAGGAAAUUGAAACGGCAAUCAAUCAUAUUGGUGAAAUACAAAUAUACAAAGUAUACACCAAGUAUGUUUUCUUUCAAGAUGUCCUUUCAUAGUUAUAAAAAUAUAUUUUGUUAUUUUUCUUUUAAUUUCUAGAUUUUCUUCAUUGAGUGACCCCCUUGCUCUUGUAGGAACUACAUAUAUUUGCUUCGCAUUUUUCCUUAUGGUAUUUUGAGUGCAAGGUUAAUUAAUCUUAUGUGACUUAAUCUAGCAACCUUUUUCUCUUAUCAGUUUCUCAUUUCUGUUCAUUGCUCUUAGGCUCUCUUUUAAGUUUCUGAGGGAAUUCAACUAUCCUGUGAUUUCCUUUACAUCUAAAUAUUCUAAAGCCCUAUAGAGAUGUCCUUUGAUAGAAUGCACGAAUAUAAACACAUCUAUUUCACAUGACUGUUCUGUUACCCCUACACUAUAUAAUAGAAUAUACAUUGAAACCAAUAAUUCAUAAAACACAUGUUGGUUUAUAAGAUCAAUUUUUAGAGAUUUCCCAGUUACUAUUUUUAGUAAGUUAUCAUUAUUAUUUUUAAAAUUAGCUUAUAUAUUUUCGACCAAGGUUCUUUUUUCAAUUUUCUUAUUGGGAUUGUUUAUGAAUUAAUUUUAUGAGGUUGCAUAAGAAAAAUUGGUGUCUUCACUGUGCUUUUUGUAACUGGCAAACACAGUAAGUCUUUUCAUUUAUUCAAAGACUUUGAAUUGUUCAGAAAUAUAUACUCAUCUUUUAUUUGUUUUGAAGACUCCUUAUUAGUUUUAUUUCCAGAUAAUCUUAUCCCUUUUAUAGGUAUUGUUAUUGCUACUAUAAAUAGGUCUUUCUAUUAUGUUUUAAUAGUAGUGUUACUCAUACAUACUAGAAAUAUUGUUUUCUGUACAUGUUAUGUAUGUGCAUAUUACCAUCUAGAAUAUUGAAGAUGUCUACCAUAGAAUGGGCUCUGAACCAGCAGUGAGGUUAGUCAUAGGGCUUGCCUCAGUUAGAUAAUGGCUUAGGACAGAGCCAAAUAGUAAAUACGGAAACUCAACCAGUAAUUGUUCUUUCUAGUGAAGGCUCUGAACAAAAUGAAACAUGUUUAGUAAUAUAGCAUCAUUACAUGUGCCUAUCGACUCAAAUUAUGAAGAUUCUGAAAGCUUGAAAAUGUCAUGCUUUAUUCAUGAACAGGUUCCAAAGGUCAAGCAAAUGACUGGGAAACAAAACUGAGUAUUACUGAGUUUUCGGUGAGCUUCAGACUAACAGUGCUUUGAGUUCAUUUGUUACUAUGGUUAUGUACCCCAUAGGUUUUGUUGUUGUUGUUGUUGUUGUUUUUUCUGAGUAAGUCCACUAUGUGCAUGCAGUGCCUCAAGAUGUCAGAAGGGGGUGUGAGUCCCACCAAAGUUGAAUUAUAGAAAAUGGCAAGCUGCCACAUGGAUAGUGGAAAUCAAACCAGAGCCCUCUGAACAAGCUACAAGGUUUUAACUGCUCAGCCACCCAGAAGCUUCCCAAAAUUUCCGAUGAACUUAAACACUGCAUUUCCAUUGAUAUGUUAUCACAACACUGGUCGAUGGAGUUUCUGGAAAAUGGCAGUCAUAACUUUCAUCCGGAGAGCAUCCUUGCAUAUCUCAACUCAUGAACAAGACCUUUGAUCUCCCGAAACUACAUCUUCCUGGUAUGGUGUUACCCACCUGCAGGCCGCUCAGUCUUCACAAGGGAGUCUUUUCCAGGAUCCUGUUUGCUUCUAUCCUAGGUCUCCAGGCUUCAUAGCCUUUGGUAACUUCUUUCCUUAGCCCUCUGGUGGUAACACAUGGAGCAAAGUGAAAGAUGUUCCCAGUCGGGGUCUGCAGCUGCAGGAGGGCACAUAAGAAUUCAUCUCGCGAUGUCAUCCACUCAAGGGCACGAGCUUCCAAGUCUCCUUGGGAUUCCAUUGCUGUGAAGAGACAACAUAACCACCGCAACUCUUAUAAAAGAAAGCAUUGAAUUGAGGAUGGCUUACAGUUCAGAGGUUCAGACCAUUGUCAUCAUGUUGGGGAAGCAUGGGAACAUGCAGGCGGACAUGGAGCUGGGGAGUAGCUGAGUGUUCUACAUCGGGAUCAGCAGGCAACAGGGACAGUAAGAGGUGUCAAGAUGGUACUCAACUGUAAGAAGUGGGAGAGGAGGAAAGAGAGCCCUUCACGUGUGUCAAGAGAGUAUUCAAGGGGAGAGAAAAAUUACUGGAGAUCCCUACCCUAGGAGUCAGCUUUCAUCAAGGAAGAAACUCCUCUCCUAAGCCACUUCUAGCUGCUGCAGUGCUGUGACUUGACCUGUCUGCGAACGUCACAAGGAGAGACUGAACAAGAAGUGUGUGAACGGAAUGAGAGGUUUGUUAAUUCCUGCAAGUUGGUCACUGUGGUGGACACCUGCAUCAAUGAACCAUCUUGUGCCCUGUCUAUAUAUAGUCCAUCGCUGGCAUUUGAUGGCAGACUUGACUUCUAAUUGACAUGCAGAUAUGAUACCCUGGUAGGAGAAACUAUAUCUUCAAACUGAAUUCUGAGCUUCUCCCGCCAAUGUGCAGUUGUCAAAUCGGGUGCUGAACUUUGCCUCCCCUAUCCCCUUCAGGCCAGAGUGUUAUAGAGCUUUUAAGCCUGAAAACCACAGACAUCUGUGCUAAGCUGUAGUUACAUUUUUCUACCAGUCAGGAUUCAGGGCUAGGGGCCUUCACUGGGAACAUUUCUCUGUGUGGCACAUUUAUCCUGUUCUCAUUGGUUGGUUGAUACCGCUGUGGAGGGGAGACUUGCCUAGUAUUCCUAUGUCUGCCAAGGAGGAUGUCAGCUACAGCAGGGGGGUCUUGGGAACUUAAAUUUUAUUUGACCCCUAUUCAAAAUGGAAGUUUUAUUCAAAAUGGCUUCAUCUUGGUUCCUUCUUACACAGUAUCACACGGUAAGGGCGAGCUUCUGUUCCUAGUGUACCAGUCAUGUGAACGCAGGCAAAAGAAGCUGACACAGUAGACAUGGCUUCAGUCUUGAGGUGGUUUCACCAUUUUCCAAUUAUCUGAUGGUGUGAAGGUUGCACUUUAUUUUUACCCACAGUAAACAUAUGCUAAUGAUGAGCACAGAGACUUAUUGAAUAAACAACCUCUUGUGUAGUAUCCAAUAAUGUAAUGAGGUAGUCAACAUUUUUAUGUUCUAAAAUAGCCUUUGUGUUAGCGGUCUCAGCCCAAACCUCAGGCUUCUUUGAGUUGCGUGCACAUGAGCGGUGAUGGUUGAUAGCGUAGGUAUGUUAAAUAUGUCUUUGAUUUAGGAAGUAUUCAACUUGUGAUGGAUGUUUCAGGACAUAGCCAUUGUAUGUAAGUUGUGAGACGGGUAUACGCAACUGCUGUCUACCAAUUAAAUAAAAGUAAAACAAAACCUUAAAUAUGAAGUUGUGUCCCAUUGAAAUGUCAGCUAAUUUAAAAUCAAUCAAUCAAUCAAUCAAUCAGUCAGUUGGUCAAUCAACCAGUCAG
Long non-coding RNA from Mus musculus (house mouse), 8560 nucleotides. RefSeq annotates it as RIKEN cDNA 2810407A14 gene. The record is from RefSeq and is a predicted model, not a curated record. The transcript has 6 exons. Lineage: Eukaryota; Metazoa; Chordata; Mammalia; Rodentia; Muridae.